RNAcentral lists this ribosomal RNA (394 nucleotides) under uncultured bacterium. Its description in RNAcentral is "bacterial SSU rRNA". It matches the Rfam family "Bacterial small subunit ribosomal RNA", at positions 29 to 418 of the family's 1533-position model. The record is from RNAcentral.
AGUGAACGCUGGCGGCAGGCCUAAUACAUGCAAGUCGAACGGCAGCACAGCAGAGCUUGCUCUGUGGGUGGCGAGUGGCGGACGGGUGAGGAAUACAUGGGAAUCUGCCCAGUCGUGGGGGAUAACGUAUGGAAACGUACGCUAAUACCGCAUGCGCCCUACGGGGGAAAGUCGGGGACCGCAAGGCCUGACGCGAUUGGAUGAGCCCAUGUUCGAUUAGCUAGUUGGCGGGGUAAAGGCCCACCAAGGCGACGAUCGAUAGCUGGUCUGAGAGGAUGAUCAGCCACACUGGAACUGAGACACGGUCCAGACUCCUACGGGAGGCAGCAGUAGGGAAUAUUGGACAAUGGGGGCAACCCUGAUCCAGCCAUGCCGCGUGAGUGAAGAAGGCCCU